CCAAAUGCAAUGAUGGAGAGUAGUACAUAAAAGCUCGCCGGUAAAGGGAGGAAGCAUCUUGACUGAAAGUGUUUCUACGGUUGAAUUUAUCGAAUUCGCUCCUGAGCAGUCGCCUGAACGAAUUGUCAGUAGGGUGAACCGGAUCCAGUCCGUUAUGGAAAUGAAGUGAACAAGAACAAGAGGCGCUUUGCCUUUUUCUCUUGAUUAAUUUGGGUGGUACCGCGAAUCCUCGUCCCUUUU
This 240-nucleotide non-coding RNA is filed under the name Fictibacillus enclensis. RNAcentral's name for it is "T-box sequence". It matches the Rfam family "T-box leader". Rfam says of the family: Uncharged tRNA acts as the effector for transcription antitermination of genes in the T-box leader family. T-boxes are found upstream of many aminoacyl-tRNA synthetase genes and some amino acid biosynthetic genes usually in Gram-positive bacteria. The record is from RNAcentral. Lineage: Bacteria; Bacillati; Bacillota; Bacilli; Caryophanales; Fictibacillaceae.